This 584-nucleotide ribosomal RNA is filed under the name uncultured archaeon. Its description in RNAcentral is "bacterial SSU rRNA". It matches the Rfam family "Archaeal small subunit ribosomal RNA", at positions 240 to 824 of the family's 1478-position model. The record is from RNAcentral.
UGUAGCGUACCUACUAGCCUACGACGGGUACGGGUUGUGAGAGCAAGAGCCCGGAGAUGGAUUCUGAGACACGAAUCCAGGCCCUACGGGGUGCAGCAGGCGCGAAAACUUUACAAUGCUGGCAACAGCGAUAAGGGAACCUCGAGUGCCAGGUUACAAAUCUGGCUGUCGAGAUGCCUAAAAAGCAUUUCAUAGCAAGGGCCGGGCAAGACCGGUGCCAGCCGCCGCGGUAACACCGGCGGCUCGAGUGGUAACCGUUAUUAUUGGGUCUAAAGGGUCUGUAGCCGGCCGGAUAAGUCUCUUGAGAAAUCUGGCAGCUUAACUGUCAGGCUUUCAGGAGAUACUGUCUGGCUCGAGGCCGGGAGAGGUGAGAGGUACUUCAGGGAUAGGGGUGAAAUCUUGUAAUCCUUGAAGGACCACCAGUGGCGAAGGCGUCUCACCAGAACGGACCUGACGGCAAGGGACGAAAGCUAGGGGCACGAACCGGAUUAGAUACCCGGGUAGUCCUAGCCGUAAACGAUACUCGCUAGGUGUCGGCCACGGUGCGACCGUUGUCGGUGCCGUAGGGAAGCCGUGAAGCGAGC